UCAACAGGGCUUUGAAGUGAAACAGGAGUAGGUGGUGGGGAUAUGUGUGACUUUAGGGUUUCUGGCUUAAGAAGCUGAAUCUCUAUAGCACCAUUUAUACAGAUUGAAUGAAGGAAGAAGCAGUUUCAUGGGAAAGUAGUAAAUUUGGUUGAGUAAAAAGAGGUUGGGGGAUCCAGAAGAGAGCUGGGUUUGCAGCUCAGGAGUCCAGGAGAGAGCUAGACUGAAAACAUAAGCCCAUGGAUAGUCACUGAAGCCAUAGGGAUGAAGAACACCUAUGGGAAACAGAGAUGGAAGAGGAUGUUACACCAAUGAGGUGUGGUCAAUACAAUUAAUUGCUAAAAAGAGCUCAGAACAGAGUGACCUGUGAUGUCUUCCCACUACUCCCAGGUUGAGAGAGAGAGAAUGAAGACCCAUUGCUGUACAGGAACUGACUGAACGCUUUGAAGAUCCUGUCGCCUGCAGGCAGAGUCUCUGUCCCCCAGCCUGGAGUGCAGUGGCGUGAUCUCAGCUCAGUGCAACCUCCACCUCUUAGGUUCAAGCGAUUCUCCUGCCUCAGUCUCCCAAGUAGCCAGGAUUACAGAAACAUACCCAGAAGUGGGAUUGCUGGAUUUAAAAACGGGCAAAGGACCUUAAUAGACAUUUCUCUUAAGAAGACAUACUC
This is a non-coding RNA of Callithrix jacchus (white-tufted-ear marmoset), 661 nucleotides long. NCBI's taxonomy places the organism in Eukaryota, Metazoa, Chordata, Mammalia, Primates, Cebidae. The record is from RefSeq and is a predicted model, not a curated record.